AGCGAACGCUGGCGGCAGGCUUAACACAUGCAAGUCGAGCGGGCACUUUCGGGUGUCAGCGGCGGACGGGUGAGUAACGCGUGGGAACAUGCCCUCUGGUUCGGAAUAACUCAGGGAAACUUGAGCUAAUACCGGAUACGCCCUUUUGGGGAAAGGCUUGCUGCCGGAGGAUCGGCCCGCGUCUGAUUAGCUAGUUGGUGAGGUAACGGCUCACCAAGGCGACGAUCAGUAGCUGGUCUGAGGGGAUGAUCAGCCACACUGGGACUGAGACACGGCCCAGACUCCUACGGGAGGCAGCAGUGGGGAAUAUUGGACAAUGGGCGCAAGCCUGAUCCAGCCAUGCCGCGUGAGUGAUGAAGGCCUUAGGGUUGUAAAGCUCUUUUAUCCGGGACGAUAAUGACGGUACCGGAGGAAUAAGCCCCGGCUAACUUCGUG
RNAcentral lists this ribosomal RNA (435 nucleotides) under uncultured bacterium. Its description in RNAcentral is "partial 16S ribosomal RNA". It matches the Rfam family "Bacterial small subunit ribosomal RNA", at positions 29 to 507 of the family's 1533-position model. The record is from RNAcentral.